This 29-nucleotide non-coding RNA is filed under the name Cricetulus griseus (Chinese hamster). The record is from RNAcentral. Lineage: Eukaryota; Metazoa; Chordata; Mammalia; Rodentia; Cricetidae.
ACAGAAGGAUUGCUGAAAGUUGAAGGCUA